Molecule: ribosomal RNA, 224 nt
Filed under: uncultured fungus
Lineage: Eukaryota; Fungi
Description: partial small subunit ribosomal RNA
Rfam family: Eukaryotic small subunit ribosomal RNA (bases 97-224)
Source: RNAcentral
GGUAUAGUGCGCUUGGCCCGCCACGGUUUCGUGUGUGAGUGCCGAUGCGCGCUUACCAUCUUUCUGGAGAACGUUCCUGCCCUUUACUGGGUUGGGUUCGCAAUCCAGAACUUUUACUUUGAAAAAAUUAGAGUGUUUAAAGCAGGCGUAAGCUAUGAAUACAUUAGCAUGGAAUAAUGAGAGAGGACUUGAGUCUUAUUUUGUUGGUUAGAGGGACUUAAGUA